RNAcentral lists this ribosomal RNA (500 nucleotides) under uncultured bacterium. RNAcentral describes it as "partial 16S ribosomal RNA". It matches the Rfam family "Bacterial small subunit ribosomal RNA", at positions 30 to 523 of the family's 1533-position model. The record is from RNAcentral.
AUUGCACGCUGGCGGAAUGCUUUACACAUGCAAGUCGAACGGCAGCACGGACUUCGGUCUGGUGGCGAGUGGCGAACGGGUGAGUAAUGUAUCGGAACGUGCCCAGUCGUGGGGGAUAACGUAGUGAAAAUUACGCUAAUACCGCAUACGAUCUAUGGAUGAAAGCGGGGGAUCGCAAGACCUCGCGCGAUUGGAGCGGCCGAUAUCAGAUUAGGUAGUUGGUGGGGUAAAGGCCCACCAAGCCAACGAUCUGUAGCUGGUCUGAGAGGACGAACAGCCACACUGGAACUGAGACACGGUCCAGACUCCUACGGGAGGCAGCAGUGGGGAAUUUUGGACAAUGGACGCAAGUCUGAUCCAGCCAUUCCGCGUGCAGGAUGAAGGCCCUCGGGUUGUAAACUGCUUUUGUACGGAACGAAAAGGUCUCUCUUAAUACGGGGGGCUCAUGACGGUACCGUAAGAAUAAGCACCGGCUAACUACGUGCCAGCCGCCGCCGUAA